ACCGUCCCUGUGUUCUUGAUUGGGCCUCUGCAAAAUACACAGUAUGCGCAGGAAGGCAGAGAUCGGGCUUCCGGGUUAAAUGUGAUUUCUCGUAUGUGCAGUAUCAGCAGUCAACCUAACAGAAAUAACCGGGUUAAGUAACCUUAAGCUAGACCUAUCUCCCUGUGAUUCCAUCAUGGGUAUUAGUUCUGUGUUAGGAGACUAUGGGAAAGAUUAUUUUGACUAUCUUUUUCUGCUCCGUUUCCCUUUUUCACUGCACUCUGCAUCUUUUUUAUAGUGUUUUUAUUAGUGUAUAUUAAUUGUGUGCCGUAAAGGGUUUCAUUAUUCCACCCUCAUGCAUGUUCACAAUGCAUUUGGAUCACAUCACCCUUGAUUCACUUAGGUCUUCAUGUGGUAUGCUCUGGUCCCUUAUUGCUUUCAUCAGUCCUUUUCUUUAUACAGUUGAAGCAUUUUCCAAUUAAAACUAACCCAGCACUCUGUAAACUUUCUAGGAUAUAUGAAAUAUUGAUGGAUUUUUUUUCCUUCGGUUUUGGUGUGUGCCUUAUAACUUCCUGUUUUGUUGUAUUGUUGAUAUAUCCUUUUCUGGUUAAAUAGAGAGGACAAAUUAUGCUGAUAAGGAACAAAAAAGUGGGUUAUAAAUUGUUGUCAUUUUUAUUCUAAGAUCUAGGGUAAGAUCUCUUUUUUAAAUUUGAGCUCAGUGAUAGAAUGACUCCCUAAUGUAUACAGGGUCCUGGGGUUUAGUCCCCAAUACUCACCCCCCCACCACACACACACUAAUUAAUUUUUUAAAAAAUCAAUAAAAUAAUUUUAAAAGUUGAGGAUCUCAACUGGGUGUAGUUACACAGGCCUUUAAUCCCAGCACUUGGGAGGCAGAGGCAGGUAAAUCUCUGUGAGUUUGAAGCCAGCCUGAUCUACAAACUGAGUUCCAGGACAGCCAAGGCUAUGUAGAAAGAUCUCCUCUAAAAGAAACAAAAACAAGGGCUGGAGAGAUGGUUCAGAGGUUAAGAGCACUGGCUGCUCUUCCAGAGGUCCUGAGUUCAAUUCCCAGCAACCACAUGGUGGCUCACAACCAUCUGUAAUGAGAUCUCGUGCCCUCUUCUGGCAUGUAGGUAGAACACUGUAUACAUAAUAAAUAAAUCUAAAAAAAAAAAAAAAGAAAGAAACAAAAACAAAAGUUGAAGGUGUCAUGUGCCCUUGAUACACAAAAUUGUGAAUGGUUAAAUUUGGGCAAAAAAAUUAUUAACCUACUUUUCAGACAGGAGACUUGGUGGCUACAUUAACACCUUUGUUUUUUUUUUUUUUUUUUUUUUUUUUUUUAUUGUUUGUUUGUUUGAUUUUUGGUUUUUCGAGACAAGGUUUCUCUGUUUAGUUUUGGAGCCUGUCCUGGAUCUCGCUCUGUAGACCAGGCUGGCCUCGAACUCACAGAGCUCUGCCUGCCUCUGCCUCCUGAGUGCUAGGAUUAAAGGCGUGUGCCACCACCACCCGGCCCUUUGUUGUUACUUUAAUGUUGUUUGUAAAACAAAAGUAGGUGCCGUUGCUUCUCUGGCAGUGGUGGAAACAGCUGACACACUAGUUGUGGAAGGAAGAUUAAGCAGAUGAAGAGCUGAAACUGCUGCCCUUGAGGGGAAGGGCCCCAAAAGUCUCCAGGCAUGAGGCGUGGGAGACUGAGCACUGAGAAGGACCCAGUGCAAUUUCAGACUUCUCAAAAGCAAACAUUUUUUAAGGUUAAAAACUGUUGGGGAGUUUUGUGUUUUCAAUAUAGAAAAGCAUUUCUUUUUCUUUUUCCUUUUUUUGAGACAGGGUUUCUCUGUGUAACCCUGGCUGUCCUGGAACUCACUCUGUAGACCAGGCUAGCCUCAAACUCAGAGAGAUCUGCCUGCCUCUGCUUCCCGAGUGCUGGGAUUAAAAGCGUGUGCCACCAUCACCUGGCAGAAAAACAUCUUUUUAUUACAAAAUUGUACAUGUUUCUUGUAAGAACUGAAAUUAUAUGUAAAUGUAUAUAAAGAGCAGAAGCUCACAUAGAAAGAACCCUUUUUAUCCCAGCCUGCAAGUAAAACUGUUAACAGUUGUGUCUCCUUGAACAGAUCUGGUUUGGAGUUUCUUCUUUCUCUCCUCCAGUCCUCCCUCCCUCGGUGGCAGAGUCUCACGAUGCAGCUCUGGAUGGCCAAGAACUCACUAUGUAAAUCAGACUGGCCUGGAACUCACAGACAUCCUCCUGUCCCUGCCUCAGAGCUGCUAGGAUUAAAGUUGUUAGGUACCUCCAGCAGCAGAAAUCAUUUUUAAGUAGAGUUUUGAUUUACUCUGAUAAGACAUUGAUGGACAUCCUUCAACUGAAGGACAUAUUGCGGAGGCGGGUCUGUAACUAGGUUUAAGGUAUUGAUUGGUACAUUAUUUACUUCUUUCUCUUGUAUAUCUGUGUGAGGCCUGAGAUUGGUGUCAGGUUCUCUUCUUGAUCAGUCUCCACCUUAUUUAUUGAGGCAGGGUCUCGGAUGAACCUGGAGCCACCAGUUCAGCUAGCAUGCCAGCUGCUCUGGGGAUUUCCUCUCUCCAGUUUUCAUGCUGGGAUUACAAGUGGGCUGUUAUAUCCAACUAGCCUUUGGCAUUUUUUUCUUGGCAUGGGUUCUAGGGAUCUGAACUUAAGGCACGUUUGCAUAGAAGCACUUUAUCCAUCUCCCCAGUCUCAUUAAUGAAUUUUUUUGUAAAGAGUACAUAGCCAGGUAGUGGUGGCUCACACCUUUAAUCCCAGCACUUGGGAGGCAGAGGCAGGUGGAUCUCUGAGUUGUAGGCCAGCCUGGUCUACAGAGUGAGUUCCAGGACAGCCAGAGCUGUUACCCAGAGAAACCCUGUCUCGGAAAACAAAAAAACAAAAACAAAACAAACAAACAAAUCAUAGUUAUAGUCACCUGUUUAAAAAGUUCAUCCUUUUAAUUGCUGCGUGAUAUUCCAUUAUAAGAUUCCCUAUCCCCCAGAUUAUAAAUGAUGUAAAUUUUUUUUUUUUCUUUUGGUUUUUCGAAACAGGGUUUCUCUGUGUAGCUUUGCGCCUUUUCCUGGAACUCACUUGGUAGCCCAGGCUGGCCUCGAACUCACAGAGAUCCGCCUGCCUCUGCCUCCCGAGUGCUGGGAUUAAAGGCGUGUGCCACCACCGCCCGGCCUAAAUGAUGUAAAUUUUACUUGUUUCCAAGAUAUUUUAAACAGUAAAUAGUUUAUUUAUUUAUUUAUUUUGGUUUUUUUGAGACAGGGUAUCUCUGUAUGGCACUGGCCAUUCUGGAGCUCGAUCUGUAGACCAGCCUAGCCUUGAACUCAGAACUCAGAGAUUGACCUGCCUUUGCCUCCUGAGUGCAAGGAUUAAAGGUAUGUUCCACCACCACCUGGCUCAUAGUAAAUAUUCCUAAACAUUAGAGCUUUUCUUCUUGUUUUGUGGAGGAACCUUAAACCCAAGGCCUUGCACAUGAUAGGCAAGCACUGUUUACCUCUGAGCUGUCUUCAGUUGUACUUAACCUCUGAAUUUUUGGAAAUAGAAUUAUAGUAUUAAGGACAGGUGCAUUAAAUUGUGAUACAUAUUCCUAAAAUGCUGGCUUGAAAAAAAUCCAGGAUGGUAUUUUAGACAGAGGUACACUUUGUAACUUUGUUCUUUUUAAGUAACCUUUCUUUCUGAAGAGUAGCAAUGAACGUUAUCCACGUUUGCUUUUGGUCUCCAGACAUCACUCAAAAAAUAUCUAUCAAAAACAUUUUAAAUUUAGUGUGUGUGUGUGUGUGUGUGUGUGUGUGUGUGUAUGUAUGUGUAUGUGUAUGUGUAUGUAUGCGUAUGCACAUGCAAGUGCAGGUAUACAUAUACCACAGCAUGAAUGUAUGGUUCAGAGGACAGAGAACCAGUUCUCUCUUGCCACUUUGUGAGACCUAGGAAUUGAACUUCAGUUAUUGAGCCUGCCCAGGAGUGCCUCUACCCACUGAACCAUCUUGCCAGACUCACUCAGGCCUUUAGUUAACAAAGCAAAAAAAAAAAAAAAAAGAAAAAAUCAGCAGGAGCCGGGCAUGGCAAUUCAUGCCUAUAAUCCCAGCACUCAGGAGGCUUUGGCAACAGAUUGGCAAAUUUGAGGACAGCUGGACCACAUUGUGCAGCAAUUUUCAACCUAUAGGUCAUAACUCCUUUGGGGUCAUAUAUCAGAUAUCCUGCAUAUCAGUUAUUUACAUUACAAUUCGUAACAGUAGCAAAACUACAGUUAUGAAGUAGCAAUGAAAAUAACUUUAUGGGGGCUGGAGAGAUGGCUCAGCAGUUAAGAGCACUGGCUGUUCCAGAGUUCAAAUCCCAGCAACCACAUGGUGGCUCACAACCAUUUGUAAUGAGAUCCGGUGCCCUCUUCUGACCACCUGCAGGCAUACAUGCAGGCAGAACACUGUAUACAUAAUAAAUAAAUCAAUCUUUAAAAAAAAAAAAAAG
Molecule: long non-coding RNA, 4438 nt
Organism: Peromyscus californicus insignis
Lineage: Eukaryota; Metazoa; Chordata; Mammalia; Rodentia; Cricetidae
Exons: 2
Source: RefSeq, a predicted model, not a curated record